RNAcentral lists this ribosomal RNA (524 nucleotides) under uncultured bacterium. Its description in RNAcentral is "bacterial SSU rRNA". It matches the Rfam family "Bacterial small subunit ribosomal RNA", at positions 791 to 1310 of the family's 1533-position model. The record is from RNAcentral.
UAGUCCACGCCCUAAACGAUGCGAACUGGACGUUGGGUGCAAUUGAGCAUUCAGUGUCGAAGCUAACGCGUUAAGUUCGCCGCCUGGGGAGUACGGUCGCAAGACUGAAACUCAAAGGAAUUGACGGGGGCCCGCACAAGCGGUGGAGUAUGUGGUUUAAUUCGAUGAUACGCGAGGAACCUUACCUAGGCUCGAACGCUACUUGACCGCACCUGAAAGGGUGUUUUUCUUCGGAACGGGUAGUGAGGUGCUGCAUGGUUGUCGUCAGCUCGUGCCGUGAGGUGUUGGGUUAAGUCCCGCAACGAGCGCAACCCCUAUUUUCAGUUGCCAGCAAUUCGGUUGGGGACUCUGGAAAGACUGCCCGUGUAAGCGUGGAGGAAGGUGGGGACGACGUCAAAUCAUCAUGGCCUUUAUGCCUAGGGGCUACACACGUGCUACAAUGGUAGAUACAAAGGGGUUGCCAAGCCGCGAGGGUGGAGCUAAUCCCAUAAAGUCUAUCCCAGUUCGGGAUUGGGAGUCUGCAA